This 492-nucleotide ribosomal RNA is filed under the name uncultured bacterium. RNAcentral's name for it is "partial 16S ribosomal RNA". It matches the Rfam family "Bacterial small subunit ribosomal RNA", at positions 29 to 507 of the family's 1533-position model. The record is from RNAcentral.
AGUGAACGCUGGCGGUAGGCCUAACACAUGCAAGUCGAACGGCAGCACAGUAAGAGCUUGCUCUUACGGGUGGCGAGUGGCGGACGGGUGAGGAAUACAUCGGAAUCUACUUUUUCGUGGGGGAUAACGUAGGGAAACUUACGCUAAUACCGCAUACGACCUACGGGUGAAAGCAGGGGAUCUUCGGACCUUGCGCGAUUGAAUGAGCCGAUGUCGGAUUAGCUAGUUGGCGGGGUAAAGGCCCACCAAGGCGACGAUCCGUAGCUGGACUGAGAGGAUGAUCAGCCACGCUGGAACUGAGACACGGUCCAGACUCCUACGGGAGGCAGCAGUGGGGAAUAUUGGACAAAGGGCGCAAGCCUGAUCCAGCCAUACCGCGUGGGUGAAGAAGGCCUUCGGGUUGUAAAGCCCUUUUGUUGGGAAAGAAAAGCAGCAGGUUAAUACCCCGCUGUUCUGACGGUACCCAAAGAAUAAGCACCGGCUAACUUCGUG